This 498-nucleotide unclassified non-coding RNA is filed under the name uncultured Glomus. RNAcentral's name for it is "SSU rRNA". It matches the Rfam family "Eukaryotic small subunit ribosomal RNA", at positions 591 to 1092 of the family's 1831-position model. The record is from RNAcentral. Lineage: Eukaryota; Fungi; Glomeromycota; Glomeromycetes; Glomerales; Glomeraceae.
CCAAUAGCGUAUAUUAAAGUUGUUGCAGUUAAAAAGCUCGUAGUUGAAUUUCGGAAUCAAUAUAUCGGUCGUGCCUCUGGUACGCACUUAUUUAUUGAUUUCUCACUUCUGACGAAUCAUAAUGUCAUUAGUUUGGUGUUAUGAGGAAUCAGGACUGUUACUUUGAAAAAAUUAGAGUGUUUAAAGCAGGCUCGCGCUUGAAUACAUUAGCAUGGAAUAAUGAAAUAGGAUGUUUGAUCUUAUUUUGUUGGUUUCUAGGAUCGACAUAAUGAUUAAUAUGGAUAGUUGGGGGCAUUAGUAUUCAAUUGUCAGAGGUGAAAUUCUUGGAUUUAUUGAAGACUAACUACUGCGAAAGCAUUUGCCAAGGAUGUUUUCAUUAAUCAAGAACGAAAGUUAGGGGAUCGAAGACGAUCAGAUACCGUCGUAGUCUUAACCAUAAACUAUGCCGACUAGGGAUCGGAUGAUGUUAUUUUUUAAUGACUCAUUCGGCACCUUACG